RNAcentral lists this ribosomal RNA (260 nucleotides) under uncultured bacterium. Its description in RNAcentral is "partial 16S ribosomal RNA". It matches the Rfam family "Bacterial small subunit ribosomal RNA", at positions 524 to 776 of the family's 1533-position model. The record is from RNAcentral.
UACGAGGGGGGCAAGCGUUUGUUCGGAAUUAUUGGGCGUAAAGGGUGCGUAGGCGGAUUUGACAAGUCUAAUGUGAAAUCUAUGGGCUCAACCCAUAGUCUGCAUUGGAAACUGUCGGGCUUGAGUAUGGGAGAGGUGAGGUGGAAAUUUCCGGUGUAGCGGUGAAAUGCGUAGAGAUGUGGAGGAACACCAGGUGGCGAAGGCGACUCUUUGGCCCUGUAACUGACGCUGAGGCGCGAAAACGUGGGGACGCAAACAGG